GGGAUUUUCAUAAUGACAUUGAAAUUAUGUUUGGUGUGGUUGUUCCUUACUGACCCAAAUUCAAGGAGUUUAAAUAUGCCUCCCUUCAAUGUAGAUUGGAUUUAUGUCACUUAUAUGCCAGUUUUAGCAUCUUCUUGGCAAAAUAAAAUAAAAUUAAAAAAAAAAUAUAUAUAUAUAUAUAUAUAAAAAAAAAUCACUUCAAUAAAUGCACAAUUUAAGGAAUAAUUUAUACAGCUCAAACGAUUCAAGACAAGUUAUGUUGUAAAGUUAAAUUUUUAGGAUUAGAGGUUCAAAUGUUAAGCACAGCCAGAAAAACAGCAAGCAAUACAUUGAGCAAACCUCAUAUCUGUAUAGACGCAGUGCUUUGUUCGGCCCAGUUUAAAGCAAACAAGUGCUUCUGUAGAUACAGGCCUCUGUCUUGAGAUUGCAGGUGCACAUACAGCUGCCAGACCUUUGGGAUGAGUUUUAUUUUUUUGUCCUCUUCUCAGCUGUCACUCAAGAUGAUGGGCAGCUGCGGCUGGAGAUGCACAGAGGCUGCUGUCAUCCACCAUCACCAUCACCCUCUUUAACGAUGGAGGUGUGUGCAUCUGACACUCACCGGGGAGAGCGAUUCAGUGAAAUGCUAUACAGAAACUUUGGGGCAGUAAUGAGGAGAUUUGACAUAACUGUAAUAUUAACCAAUGUGCAGCACUGUUUCUGGAUUGGGACACGGUAAAGCAGUGAAAGAGGUGUGGGCCGGCAGCCUGCGGGGUUUUACUGUAACAACAAGAGCACAAUCAGUAUCCUGACAUGAACUCAAGGCAUUGUGGAGCCAUAUGACAGGGACAUGUCUGUCACACCUAAUGGAGCAAAUACCAGAAAUAUCCACCCCACUUUAUUCACCAAGGUAGAAUUGCACCAGCCGUCCAUAAAUGGGGUCAUAAAGUUCAUACUUAUAACUGUUAGUUUGUAACAAAUUGUACUUAAAGGAACAGUUCACCCAAAAAUGAAAAUCUGCUGAAAUAAGUUGAAAUGACAAUUUGCUGAGAUUGCUGAGAAUAGAUUUGGAGAAAUGUAGCAUUACAUCAACUGCUCACCGCUGGAUCCUCUGCAGUGAAUGGGUGCAAUGAAUGCUACAUUUCUCAAAACAUGACAUAUGUAUGAGCAACUUGCUAAAAACCACUCAUCUUAGAAACCUCAUAGCAAUGUUCUGACAACCUACAGCAUCACCAGUGUUAUUGUUAACAAAAACUAAAACUAAAAAUCAUUUUUGUUUACUGAAAUAAAAAUAAAUUAUAUAUAUUAUAUGAAAAACUU
Molecule: long non-coding RNA, 1296 nt
Organism: Cyprinus carpio (common carp)
Lineage: Eukaryota; Metazoa; Chordata; Actinopteri; Cypriniformes; Cyprinidae
Source: Ensembl